GGGCUCGUGGCGCAGCGGUAGCGCGCCUCGUUUGCAACGAGGAGGUCUGGGGUUCGAAUCCCCCCGAGUCCAC
Molecule: transfer RNA, 73 nt
Filed under: Candidatus Gugararchaeum adminiculabundum
Lineage: Archaea; Nanobdellati; Microcaldota; Candidatus Micrarchaeia; Candidatus Gugararchaeales; Candidatus Gugararchaeaceae
Description: tRNA-Ala(tgc)
Rfam family: tRNA
About the family: Transfer RNA (tRNA) molecules are approximately 80 nucleotides in length. Their secondary structure includes four short double-helical elements and three loops (D, anti-codon, and T loops).
Source: RNAcentral